CUGCAGAGGAAUUUUAGCCAGAAUUGUGCCAAAAAGCCUGUGUGGUACCCACAGGUGUUUUUGGGAAGCAGUGGGGCCACCCUGGGAUAUCUCGGAUGCCCCACUGGCUGCCACUCCAGGACAGACCUGAUGGCAGCAGUGCAGGGCAGAGAAUGAGAAGCAAUCCAGAAAAUCAGAUCCAUCCUUAAAAAACCCAGCCCAAACCCUGCCCCAGCGUUUCUCUGCCCUUUGCCUGGGGCUGCCAGCAUCGGGAACACGGGGCUGGGAAGGAGCUGGUGAGUUUUGGGCACAGGCCUUGGCCCAGGGGACGCUCAGGGGUUCAGGAAGGGACACGGAGCAGCAAUGUGGGUGAGAAAAAGGAUGAGCUGGUGAUGCUGAAUUUGAUGCAUUUCAAGAUUACCCUAUGGACCUCCUGGCAGGCAGGUUGAUGGUUUGAGAUGUGCUUGAGGCUCCUCCCCGCAGCUAAAGCCAUUUCCUCAUCAUCCUCUGGGCCCAGUGCUCUUCAUGAUUGAAGAAAAUAAGCCAAGAAUGCUUAGAGAGACCUAAAAAUGGGAGAAAAUCUGGGGAAAAGAUGCUCAGGUGAGGACAGAAAAGGCAUCUCCACCCCGUGCUGGCUCUCCGGCGCUUUUAUGUAACGGAGCACGUGGCUCUCCACGUUCCUUGUGGGGCUGGACACGGGUUCUCUGACUGCCAGGCUGGAGCAUCUCCCUCAAAUGAUGUCAAUCUUCACUGCACUAGCAUUACAGCAUCAUAAAAAAUUACAGAGCUGCUAUUUUGGGUAGCAGCUCUCUCCGAGUCAGUGAAUAAAUGCAGCUCCAUAUGACUCACUCCGGGGGAUUAUUAAUAGACACAAAAGCAGAAUGCCAAAACCCCAGGAAUAUGCUCUGUUCCCACACUGAGCUUUCUAGCUUCUCACAGCAACUGCUCUUGAGAACUUUUUGUCUCAGAAAUUAAUAUACAGACAUAUUAGAAGAAUUAAAUUUAUAAAUUUUCUGUUGAACUCGCACCUCGAAGGCUUUAGCAGGGGCUGUUCUGCAGGGAUGAAGGAUGGUUGCUCCAGGGCCAGGCUCCAUCUGGGAUGGCAGAGCAGUGGGAGAAAGGGAGUCAUUUCAAGAGGGAAGAAUCACAGGCUUCUCCUUUUGCUGCCAUGGGUGUCCACGAUGCUGGUGUUGGAGUUGGCUUCUUAUGAAGGAGGUUCACAGUCCCACAUGUGUUGAUGAUGAAGAUGAUGAUCCUGAGGAUGGUGAUGGUGACUCUCCCAUCUUCAAACUCAAAACCUGGUAAAACCGAAAUAGCUGAGAACAGAAUAUUUAUCUCCAGGCCCAUUCCCAUGUGAUGACAGCGAUGUCUUCGGAGUUCAAACGCGUCUCCCUGGUGCUUCACGGACCACUUCGCUCCCGUCUCAUCAUCCAGAGUUUAAAUCCUCUUGUCCUCUGGGGCCACUCAUCAGCCUGGCUGUUCUUACACCAAGAAAGAGGCACACCACAAACAAUCCUGGGAUUGUUAAAGCGCUGCUGCUCCUGCUGUUUACAAGGGCAGGGAGAGGUGAGCCAGCCUGGAGCUGUGUGGCCCAUCCGUGGCCACCAAGGGCUUGUGGCAGGGGAGGACUCAGAGAUCCUGCCGGAUCCUGGCAGGGAGACCUAAUUCAAAAGAACCAAACCUCUGACUGAAUGCAAGGGAAGAAAUCAAUGUUAAUUGGAAGGGGCUGGGAGGGGGCACAGGUGAAGUGGAACUCCCAGUAAUUAAACAAGAGAUACAACACAGCCCAAGGCUGAGCCUGGGGUCAGCAGCAGCUCCCCAGUUCCCCUCCCAGUGAUGGGACAGGCUCCAAGGAGGAAAACCAGCACCACUCCAAGGGCUCUAGACAAAGGAGAAAGCACUUCAAGGGAAGAAGGUUGAUUGCAAAACCCCUUCAACCACAAUUUUCUCCAAGAUCUCAGAAUGAUCUCAGAUUCCUGAUGUGGAGCUCAGGAAAUACUGCAUCAACCUCCUAAAGAGAAGCUUGGGCCACAAAUCACUGCCCUGGCACUUUGAGAUGAGCCUUGAAAUCCCAUUUACAGCCAAGCACAGCAUACCAGAUAGGAGCAAGCUCUCCUUCUCUUCCCAGCCUCCUCUAUUCCACACUGCUGAAUGUAUUUGAGCAGAGCAAAGCACUGGGGAGGCAGAGCCCCAAGGAGAGAUGUAUUUUCAGCCAGAGUAAUCUGCUUGUAUUAUUACAGACCUUCAGCUGCCACAUAUAUUUAGACUUCUAACAAACUCUGCCAGGAUUUUGCAAAGGUGGAAGAAUCCCAGCAGGUUCCAAACCUCCUGCCCACCCUAGUGCCUCCCAGCCAGCAGCACCACAGCCUACCCAGGCCUUCACAAAUAUUACCAUCUACAGGUCCAGCAGGGAGGCUGGAACUCAUCCAGAAGUCUAAAGCACCUGCUGCUGGUUGGAACACAAGCACAGGUAAGGUGGGAAUUGCUUCUCCUCUCUCACAAAACGUCCACCGAAGUGCAGGUCUCCAGUACCACCAGCAGCAGCAAGGAAAAUAUUAAAUACAGGAAUUAUUAAAACUAAGAGGCAGCUGAAAGACCACAACGGGUCAAACACAGUGUUUGUGUGGGACAUUUACACACAAGAUGUUCAGCACCUGGACAAGGAAACAUUUCAAAACAACAGACCCAACCCCAUCACUCCUGCACUACUGUGAAAGCUUUCCAAAGUGCUUUGCAGAGAAGGGUUUGUGGGAACAAGCCCCAGGACUCUUUAUUAAUUAAAGUGCUUUAAAUAAUUGAAAUACACAGUCUCUCGACUCUCCUAAGCAUAGUCACCUGCUCAAGAGCUGCCAUAAAUUAUGGAAAAAAAUCAUAUCCAGGAGGAGAGAGAUCUCACCUUGAGGAAUUCAUCACAAAACCCAACGUCUCUGUAGCACUGAGAGAUGCCACAGCCCCAGAACAGCGAUGUGACGGGAGCAAGGCAGAGAAACUUUGUCUCCAGGGAGGCCAGGAUGCUUGGGAAGGGCUGCCUGGCCAAUGCAGCUGCUCAAAUGAGCCGGGAUUUAGGGAAAUCAGAACUGGCUGGUGGUUUUUGACCAUUAAUGGGAUACAGCUGAACAUGCUGGACCCUGACACUGAGGUUUUACAGGGAAAGCUGUUGAAGCUCUUGGAUUGUCUGAAUCCUGGAACACAGCAACCACAGGGCUCAGACUGAGGCAGCCAGGGGCCUGGGCAGCCUGCAGAGCUGAGAAACAGCUUCUGCCUUUAGGGAACAGGCUGAUGUGCAGCCUCACAGCUGCUGCUUGGAAAGCUGCUCCUGCUGGAGCAGCCCUUCAGGACAACUGCCAGGUCUGUCCCCACUGCUCAUCCCCAAAAGCCAAAGGUAAAUCCAGUGCAGGGAUGGCAGCAGAGGGAGCUGGGCUUUCUGGAGAUAGCCCAGGUACAGCACAGUACUUAUGGGGAAUGAAAUCUUCUGAUGUGGACUGUCCAGCCCCAUUCAGAGCCAACAUUCAGGGAAACCUCUUUAGUCAAGAAAUUCAGCAGUAACUUAGAGAUUUGCAGAGCUCACAGAUGAUCUCUGAGGGGCUUAGAUCCUUUAGAGGGAUCUGAUUUUCAGAAAGCCCAGUGAAAAAUGGCCAAUAUUUGGGCUGAGUGCCCCACUCAAGUGUCAGCCACAUCCUAGGAGAUGCUGUUAAUGCACCCUCAGUCCUGUCCACACCCAUCCCACAAAUGAAAUCAACACAGUGACAGCAAACUACACUGACAAAGCUUCUCCACUGGGUGCAGCGCAAACCCUGCCCUCAUAUGGCAUCAAAGCUGGAAGAAGUAUCAGCACAGGUAACAAUCUUCUUUGAAAUAAUAAAUACAAAAACUGUAUUUUUUCCUUUUUUUUAACUCAUGACAGCAUUUGAUAAAAAUAUUACAUCUGCUUUUGAGAAGGUAAUAUCCUCUCCAUUUAAUAUGGAAAAAUAAACUCUACAGGACACACAACACAUCCCCCCAGUUGGCACAGAGCUGCUUUAAGAGACCAGAUCCACAAGACACAUCAAGGCAGAAGAGAGGUUUGGUCUUCCUUGUCCCCAUACUCUUAAAACAUUGUGUUGUAGGAAUGGUAAAAGACAAGAAUACAUAAAAACAGUAAAAUGUUUAUUUUCUUAGAAAAAAAGAGAUUCAAAAUGAUUGUGAUCACACUCCCAUUCGUGCUCAGCAAAGCCAAUACUGCAAGCUUAGUCCUUGAUUAAGAUACCUUUUAAAUGAAACUUUUUUUCCUCUUAAAAUACAAGUUCCUGCUCCUGUAUCACUUCCAGUAUUUCAGUGAUAACAUGCUUUUAAUGGAUAACAGUUUCUCAGCUUCUUCCCAGCUGAGAAACAAGGCCUGCCAUGGCAAAAACAUCCCAUCUCCAAAGCCUGGAAUCACCAGCACUAACAAGCACUCUGGCCCCAACACGGACGGACACACAGCUCAGGGGUGUUUCUUAGAUGUUGGAUGUUCACUUAUGGAAGCUUGGUGUAACACUACCUCAUCUGAUAGAAAACGGGCCAGAAGCCUCAAUAAAAUCAACAACGUCUUUUGGAUUAACUUUUAAGGAUUUGCUGCGUAUCUGGACACAGAAAAAAGUGAGAA
Molecule: non-coding RNA, 4603 nt
Organism: Taeniopygia guttata (zebra finch)
Lineage: Eukaryota; Metazoa; Chordata; Aves; Passeriformes; Estrildidae
Source: RefSeq, a predicted model, not a curated record